GUGUUGUAUGAAAGGAGAGAAGGUUAGCACUCCCCUUGACAAGGAUGGAAGAGACCUUCGGGUCUAACAACACGCAUACGGUUAAGGCAUUGCCACUUACUUCGUGGCAUCUAACCACUGUUUUUC
Molecule: non-coding RNA, 126 nt
Filed under: Monodon monoceros (narwhal)
Lineage: Eukaryota; Metazoa; Chordata; Mammalia; Artiodactyla; Monodontidae
Source: RNAcentral